RNAcentral lists this unclassified non-coding RNA (647 nucleotides) under Hevea brasiliensis (rubber tree). The record is from RNAcentral. Lineage: Eukaryota; Viridiplantae; Streptophyta; Magnoliopsida; Malpighiales; Euphorbiaceae.
GGAAACUGCUGUAAUGCCAAUUGGUAUGGAGAAUAUCAAAAUAGGUAACGCACAGUAUAUUCAUAUAAAAUUGAAAGCAGGGAACAACUUUCUUAUUUGUUCAGGUUUUCCAAAACAAAUUCUUGAACAUUAUUUGCAUGCUUUGUAGGGGAAAAAAAGCAUGUUAAUAUUAGAAGGGUUGAAAUUUAAACAGCAUGUUCCAGGUGCUACGUAGGCAGAUUAUCUACAUGUUUUUUAAUGUAAGAAAUCUUUAAAAUCUAAUAGGAGCAUAAUCCCAUUGCCCCUAAUUGUUUGCAAAUAAUAUAGCGUCUAUCUAACAUAAAAGUUCACUAAGUACAUGAAAAAAGAAACAGAAUUAAAAAGACAGAGAAAUAAGGAAUGAGAAACAAGGACAGUUUAGAAAUAUUCAUUACUUUGCAAGUUCUCUCUGUUACAUUCAUUCAAUUUAGACCACUAUAUGUUAUUAAACAAAAAUGGAAGAAAUAGAAAACAACAGUUUAUCCUGCUUCUUACAAGGAGGCAUGCCAUUAUAGCAACUAUUUAUCAGAUUCUACAGCUACAAAACAAAAUGAAUUUAAAACACAAAAUGUUCAAAUAUUCCUACUAUCGAGAAGGAAUACUAUUAUCAGCAGAAACUAGAUUUCUGA